Molecule: long non-coding RNA, 9487 nt
Filed under: Solanum lycopersicum (tomato)
Lineage: Eukaryota; Viridiplantae; Streptophyta; Magnoliopsida; Solanales; Solanaceae
Description: long non-coding RNA (SLYC_LNC001019)
Source: RNAcentral
UUGGGCCAUUAUUCUGCCAUUCCAUCACAUAUCCAAACACCUCUUAAACUUUUUUUUUUGUUUUUUAAUAGCCCCCAGCCUACUCCCUAAAUCCCAUCCAACCUUCUUGUCCAUCCCUUUAUCCAAUUACUCUGUUUUCUUCUCAUUCCAGCAACCAGGGAACAAACACGCGCGAUCAGAAAAACAUGGUAUGUGUUGCUUCUUCUCUAUCUAUAGCGCAGCACACCCAAAUCGCCUUUCGCUCCAGCAAGCGAUAAUAAACGGCAAAUAGACGAUGUAUCUCUCAACUCUUCAGUAACAGCAUCAGCGUCGAGAUCGAGUCACGUUGCUCGCCAAGGACACUCGAGUCAAUCCCAGACGUUCGUCUCCCAUUCCUCUUUCGGAUGGGUUGAAUAUCUCAGGAAAAGGGUAUCAAAGGUGAAAGAUUCUCGGAAAUCAAAUUCAAAAAUGGGCCCUUCUUAUCAAAAUCCUCAUUCGAUUUCCCCCCAAGAAAAAAAAAUUCUGCCCUAGUCUCCCUCUUUAUAACUUUCUAUCUUUCUCAGUAUAAAGGGAAGAAAAAAAAUAUUUUAUUUUUGGAAAUUCCUUUUGUUGGAAAUUUUUGGUCGGAAGUCUUAGAGAAAAAUCGAGAAUAACCUUAAGAAAAUAUUAGCUAAGAAAUACAGUAAGACAUUGAAAGAAGAGGGUGUCUUGGUUUCGAUCGAGACACCACGUUUUUCAUUCCAUUUGCAUAGGUUCAUUUGAGAUGCGAAUUUGUGAAGGAAGUCUCCGGCAACUCAUCGUCCCAGGAAAGGUAAAAUUCCUUAUGAUUCUGUCUCUCUCUCUCUCUCCUUUUUUUCGGUUUAUCAUUUAUUGCCCUUUUCUGCUUAUAUUUUGUAAAAAUGAGAGUUUGCGUCCUUUGUUUCCCUUCCUCCCUUUUCUAGGAUACAUAUGUUAUUCCAUUUGAUCUAAUAUUUAAAGCUUACGUCGUCAGUCUUGUUUGAUGAUCAAGAUGCUUUUAGUUUGAGAUGUGUUUUAUCUGAUUUUCUCUAUGUUGACAUGCAAUACUUCGACCCUUUUCAAAGAUAGGAGCAGAAUCUUGUUAACUUGGAUUUUUUGUGUAUGUAUGCAUCUAAGAGCUUGCCGGUUAGAUCGACUCUUAAAUAGAAUAAGCAUAUCGUUUUUCUUUUUGUUAACUUCCCUUUACAGUGUUGUAAGAAAAGGGGAAGAACCUUAAAUUCUAAAAAAUUUUGUUGUUGUCCUAGUUUUGAACUACUACAUGUUGCUCAAGCAUGGGAGUUUCUUUGUUUUUUUUUUAAUGAUUAAUUGGCUCUUCUUUAUUUGCUUUUUAAAUGCAUGUGCUAAUUGGAAUAUUUCUUAUCUGAUUUUUUUUUUAGUUUUUGGAAAAUAUAUGUAUUAAUUUUUUCAUGACUUGUUAGUUUAAGCUUCUUAAAAAUAGCAAAAUGUCUUGACUAUGUAAUUUUUAAAAUUUUAUUUUUCUGCUGCACCUUACCUUACCAGUAGACUUAAAAGUGGAAAUUAAAGGUAAAAUGUGACCUUCCUUGUUUGUGUCUUGUCGUUGUUGUCAUUCAUAUGAAUUUGAAGCAAGCAUGUUUUAUCUUUGGAUGUUAAGUGAGUUGAACCCAUUUAUUUAUGCAAAGUAAUUGUUGCCAAUCUGUGUUAAGAAAACCAGAAAUUACUGGUUGUAAUAAAUCAUUCAGAGACACGAAGUAACUGAGAUUUUUAGAACCAGUAAAUAAGAUGAACAGAAAUUUAUUUGUAAAAAUAAUUUAAUAUGUAAAACUUACCAGAAUCUUGAAUACUCUUUUUGAUAAUUUAGGAAGAAAAUCAAGUCCACUGAAUUCUCAGUGUCCCCUUAAGGAAAUUAUUUCCCUCUAGUAUCCGAGGUUUGAUUUGGAAUAUAACCUCCCAGGGUAAAAUGAUCUUAAUAAGUAGAGUAUAGAUACCAAAAACUCUGCUGUCAGUGAAUCAAUCCACAGCAGGAAAGUACACGAAGAAAAAAUGUGUUUAUUAAAAAGUAGGAAGAUCAAAAAAUUCGUUAGUAAAUAUUCUGAAGACUGAAUGGUAUUUAUAGGCAAGAAUAAUAUAUUCUGAAAGGUGGGAACCCUUUCAGAAUUGACACAACCAUUAAUGAAAGGUUGCAAACUUUCAAAUGGUAUUGACUGUUCCUGAAAGUUGCAACCUUUCAGAACAGUGGCGGAAUUUUUUAAAUAUAACGGAAUUUAAAAUGGAUCACGCGCGCGGAUCCGAGUCGGGUCGGGUUAACUAAAAAGUUGAAAACAUUUCGGUUAAUUUCUGUUAUCAACUAAUUAAUUGAAAAUAAUUUUUGGCCAUUUAAUUAAUUAAAUAAAUAAUAAAAAUAAAUUUUUCCAAAAAAUUAUCUCUCGAUUUGCCAAAGCCAAAGACAAAGCCGAAGCGAGCGAGCGACGACGACGACGGCGCGAGGGGGGUCCCUCUUUCCAACCCUUUUAAUAAUUAAUAGGAGUGUUUAUUUAUUUAAACUCUCUUAUUUUUAUUUCUAUUACCGCUGAGGGACUAUUGCCUUUUUUAUUAAAGCAUUAGAGGACUUUUCAAGUUUCCAACCUUUCAAGUUCUAAACUUUUCAAAUUCCUCUCCUUCCCUCUAUUUCCCAUCAAUUCUUGCUACAUACCCAACAUUCCCCCACAUUGAUGGGGAAUAGUGAUAACAUAGGAAUGCACGGACAAUUGCGUACUUUACAAGCAACGAUUAAUUGCAUCUGGAUAAGUAGGUUUCCCCUUGGACUUUCCGUAGUGAACAUAUGUCAGAUAUACUCGGUCAAUCGGUAGAUGUGAUAUUUUUGAACCGUCGAACUUUGGUGUAUACCUAGACAACCAUAUGUCACACAAUUAACCCUUUACUGUUUAUGAUUCUUACGGUUGUGUUCGUUUCAGCCAUGAACACCUCCUGGUUUCAUGAGUGUAUAGAGAAUAGGCUUUUGACAUAAAAUUCUCUUUGAAGCGGCUUCCACUUCACACUCACAUAGGUGAUUUCUAACUGUGUCAUCUCGUAGAUACACUAUUUGGUCAAAUCUACCAAACUUAGCAAAUCAUUAAAAAAACUUUAAGUUUUAUUACCUCAUUAACAAGCCUUAAAGUCUUAACCUUUUCCUGAACAUUGUCUUCAUCAUGAGAAUGGAUUGAGUUAAUUGACAAUGUCGAACCGUCAGCCACAACUUUGUUUUUCUCCUUGAAUCUAGAUCUUGGGAUCUCCAGUCCGCUAGAUAGAGUUACCGUCAUGCUGACUUGUCCUAAGCCGUAAACCCAUUCCCUUAGAUGAUCUUUCAACUGCCUCUCUCACUAGGCCUCUCGUUAGUGGAUCUGACACAUUAUCGCUUGACUUUACAUAGUCAAUUGUGAUAAUUCCACUAGAGAGCAGUUGUCUUAUGGUGUUAUGUCUACGUCGUAUAUGAAGAGACUUCCCGUUGUACAUAAUGCUCCCUGCCGUACCUAUUGCUGCUUGACUAUCGCAAUGUAUGCAAAUUGGUCCAACAGGUUUGGGCCAUAAUGGAAUAUCCUUUAGGAAUUUCCGGAGCCAUUCUGCUUCUUCACCAGCCUUAUCCAAAGCAAUGAAUUCAGAUUCCAUUGUGGAGCGAACAAUACAUGUCUGUUUGGAAGAUUUUCAAGAGACAGCUCCUCCACCAAGUAUGAAUACAUAACCACUCCUGGAUUUUACAUCAUUUGACCCGGUGAUCCAAUUUGCAUCACUAUAUCCUUCAAUCACAUCAGGAUAUUUAUUAUAAUGCAAAGCAUAAUGUUGUGCCAUUUUAAAUAACCCAACACACGUUUCAUAGCCAUCCAGUGAGUUUGAUUCGGAUUACUAGUGUACCGAAUCAGUUUACUAAUAGCACAUGCUAUAUCUGGUCGCGUGCAAUUCAUAAUAUACAUCAUACUUCCCAACACUCUGGCAUAUUCCAAUUGAGAGUCACUUUGACCUUCAUUUUUUUUAAAUGUACAACUUAAAUCAAUUGGAGUUUUGACUACAUUGAAAUUCAAGUAAUUGAACUUAUCCAAUAGUUUUCCAAUAUAAUGAGAUUGAGAUAAUGCUAGUCCCUGGGGAGUUUUGAUAAUCCUGACCCCUAAGAUCAAAUCAGCAACUCCUAAGUCUUUCAUAUCGAACUUGCUGGACAACAUGCGCUUAAUAGCAUUUAUAUCAUCAAUUUCUUUACUCAUUAUUAACAUGUCAUCAACAUACAAACAAACAAUUACUUCAUGAUUCAUAACGUUUCUAAUGUAAACAUAUUUAUCACAUUCGUUAAUCUUGAAUCCAUUUGCUAACAUUACUUGAUCAAAUUUAGCAUGCCAUUGUUUGGGUACUUGCUUGAGUCCAUAAAGUGACUUCACAAGUUCGCACACUUUCUUUUCUUUACCAGAAACUAUAAACCCUUCAGGUUGUUCCAUGUAAAUUUCUUCCUCUAACUCUCCAUUUAAGAAGGCUGUCUUUACAUCCAUUUGGUGGAUUUUAAGAUCAUGCACUGCUGCUAGUGCUAUUAAUAUCCUAAUUGAUGUUAUCCUUGUUACUGGAGAGUUUGUGUCAAAGUAGUCCAGACCUUCCUUUUGUCUAUACCCUUUGACUACUAGUCUAGCCUUAUAUUUGUCAAUAGUCCCAUCAGGUUUCAUUUUCCUUUUAAAGAUCCAUUUUGAUCCUAAAGGUUUAUUUCCUGGAGGAAGAUCAGUCAAUUCCCAAGUGUGAUUGCUUAAAAUUGAUUCAAUCUCAUUAUUGACAACUUCUUUCCAAUAAGUUGACUCUGACGAAGACAUAACUGCUUUAAAUGUUUGAGGCUCAUUUUCAAGCAAUAGUGCUACAAAAUCUGGUCCGAAAGAAACAGAUUUUCGUUGUCGAGUACUUCGCCUAGGUUCCUCACUAGUUAGAAUAUUUUCCAUUGAUUCUUCUCGUGGUCGUUUAGGGCUUUCACUUGUUGACUCACUUUCAGUUUUAUACGGAUAAAUAUUUUCAAAAAACUCUGCAUUAUCUUAUUCAAUUAUCGUAUUAACAUGAAUCUCAGGAUUAUCAGAUUUGUGAACCAAAAAUCGACAAGCUUUACUAUUCACAGCAUACCCAAUAAAGACACAAUCUAUUGUUUUGGGUCCAAUUUUAACCCUCUUAGGUAAAGGAACCUCUACCUUGGCUAAACACACCCACACUUUGAAAUAUUUCAAGUUGGGUUUUCUUCCUUUCCACAACUCAUAUGGAAUUGAUUGUGUUUUUCGAUGGGGUACUCUAUUGAGUAUUUUAUUAGCUGUAAGGAUGGCUUCCCCCCAAAGAUUUCGCGGUGAACUAGAAUUGAUCAUUAAGGCAUUCAUCAUUUUCUUUAAUGUUCUGUUCUUCCAUUCUGCCAAACCAUUUGACUGUGGUGUAUAAGGUGCAGUAGUUUGAUGAAUAAUACCAUAUUCCAAACAUAUCUCUACAAAAGGAGAUUCAUAUUCUCCACCCCUAUCACUCCGAAUCAUUUUUAUCUUUAGAUUCAAUUGGUUUUCCACUUCAUGUUUGUAUUGCUUAAAUGCAUCAAUUACUUCAUCCUUACUAUUAAGCAAAUAUACAUAACAAAAUCGAGUGAGCCAUCAAUAAAAGUUAUAAAAUACUUUUUCCCACCACGAGAUGGUGUUGACUUCAUAUCGCAUAUAUCUGUGUGAAUUAAGUCUAAAGUUUUAGAAUUUAUUUCAACAGACUUGUAAGGAUGUUUAACAAACUUACUUUUCACACAAAUUUCACAUUUCGACUUGUCGCAUUUAAAAUCAGACAAUACUUCUAGAUUAACCAAUUUUCACAAGGCUUUGUAAUUUACAUGUCCCAAACGGGCAUGCCGUAAAUCACUUAACUCCAAUAAGUAAACAGAAGCAGAAUUUUUAUUAAUACUGUCAAUAACCAUUACAUUAAGUUUGAAAAGACCCUCAUUGAGAUAGCCCUUUCCUAUAAACAUUUCAUUCUUACUUAUUACAGCUUUAUCACUAACUAGGACACACUUAAACCCGUUCUUAACGAGUAGUGCAGCAGAAACUAAAUUCUUCCUAAUAGUAGGGACAUGCAGAACAUUGUUUAAAGUCAAUACUUUGCCGGAUGUCAUUUUCAGCAUUACUUUCCCAGUUCCUGCAAUCCUUGCUGUUGCUGUGUUUCCCAUGAAUAAAUCGUACUCAGCAGGAGUGUACGUUGCAAAGGCUUUUUUUGCAGAGAAAAUAUGUCUAGUAGCUCCUGAGUCGAGAAACCACUCCUUGGGAUUUCCAACUAAGUUACACUCUAAUAUCAUUGCACACAAGUCAUCUGCAUCUUCCAUCUUUUCCACGAUGUUUGCUUGACUUUUGCCUUUGCCUUUGUUUUUGUCCUUUCUUGGAGCAUGACAAUCAGAAGAUCUAUGACCAGCCUUGCCACAAUUAUAACAGUUGCCUUUGGAUUUCUUCUUGGCCUGUUCUGACUUCUGCCCGUUGGACUUCUUUCUCUUUUUGUCUUUGGUAGGAGCUUCUUCAAUAAUAUUAACUCCAAUGAUUGUUGAACUCUUACGAAACUUCUUUUCGACAUUUCUGUUAUCUGCCUCAAUCUUGAGACGAAUCACAAGAUCUUCAAGCUUCAUUUCUUUACGCUUGUGCUUUAGAUAAUUCUUGAAAUUAUUCCACGAAGGAGGCAACUUCUCGAUCAUUUCAGACAUUUGAAAAGCUUCAUUUACUACCAUAUCUUCAGCAAUCAGAUUAUGGAGAAUAAGUUGAAUUUCCUGCACUUGUAAUCCAACAGUUUUACUAUCUACCAUUUUAUAGUCUAAAAACUUUGCGACCACAAAUUUUUUCAAGCAUGCAUCUUCUCUCUUAUAUUUCUUCUCAAGUGCAUUCCACAACUCUUUUGAAGUUGUUAUUGCACUAUAGACAUUAUAUAAGUCAUCCUCUAAAGCACUCAAACUGUAACCUUUACAUAGGAAGUCUGACUGUUUCCAUGCUUCAACAAUCAUAAAUUUUUCCCUGUCUGGCAUGUCAUCAGCGGGUACUGCAGUAUCUUCACUUGUAAAUUUCUAGAGACCAAGAGUGGUAAGCCAGAAAAAUACUCAUUGCUGCCAUCCUUUGAAAUUCACACCUGUGAAUUUACCCGGUUUCUCUGCUUGUGAUACAAGAGUUCGGGUUGGUGCAGCAACAGCCACUGUAACACCAGUGUUUUCCAUUUCUGAUAAACAAAAUUAAUACAAUAUAAGUAAGCAAUAAAUUAUAAUUGCAGACUUAAAGGAGUAUAAAAUCAUAAAGAUUUUUGUCUCCACCAGAAACACAGAUUUAUGUAAUUUCCUUAAGAUUGUUGCCAAUCUGUGUUAAGAAAACCAGAAAUUACUGGUUGUAAUAAAUCAUUCAGAAACACGAAGUAACUAAGAUUUUUAGAACUAGUAAAUAAGAUGAACAGAAAUUUAUUUGUAAAGAUAAUUUAAUCUGUAAAACUUACCAGAAUCUUGAAUACUCUUUUUGAUAAUUUAGGAAGAAAAUCAAGUCCACUGAAUUCACAGUGUCCCCUUAAGGAAAUUAUUCCCCUCUAGUAUCCGAGGUUUGAUUUGGAAUAUAACCUCCCAGGGUAAAAUGAUCUUAAUAAGUAGAGUAUAGAUACCAAAAACUCUACUGUCAGCGAAUCAAUCCACAGCAGGAAAGUACACGAAGAAAAAAUGUGUUUAUUAAUAAGUAGGAAUAUCAGAAAAUUCGUUAGUAAAUAUUCUGAAGACUGAAUGGUAUUUAUAAACAAGAAUAAUAUAUUCUGAAAGGCAACCCUUUCAGAAUUGACACAACCAUUAAUGAAAGGUUGCAAACUUUCAAAUGGUAUUGACUGUUCCUGAAAGUUGCAACCUUUCAGAACAGUGGCGGGAAUUUUUAAAAUUAUCUCUCGAUCGAUCAUUUGCCAAAGCCGAAGCCGAAGCCGAAGCGAGCGAGCGACGACGACGACGGCGCGAGGGGGGUUCCUCUUUCCAACCCUUUUAAUAAUUAAUAGGAGUGUUUAUUUAUUUAAACUCUCUUAUUUUCAUUUCCAUUAACGAUGAGGGACUAUUGCCUUUUUUAUUAAAGCAUUAGAGGACUUUUCAAGUUCCCAACCUUUCAAGUUCUAAACUUUUCAAAUUCCUCUCCUUCCCUCUAUUUCCCAUCAAUUCUUGCUACAUACCCAACAGUAAUUGUUUAAUCUUUGUUAAGUCACUUUUUGUGUUGAAAUUAUUUACUUUUCUCCCCAACUCCCAAAAUCUCGUCUUUCCUCUUUCGUGUCAUUUUCAACCUGAGACGGAGUGGGUUAAUCAUUUGACUAGUUCUAAUACUCGGGCUUAGCAUUUAAUUGCUACUUUGCUCUCUUUUGUGAAGAUUUUGGCUUUUGGAACUUUGGUUUUUUUGAGCAUAAUUGCUAUAUAUUAUACAGUCUUGGCAUAAUUUUAGCAUAUUUUACUCCUUUUGAACGACCAAUGGGUGGUUUUCUUUUUUUAUUUCCAUGUGUAGAGUUUCAAAUCUUGCUAUACCAUUCAUGGACGGUCCUUUAAGUAUAAAUUCUAAUCCUUAUUGUGUUUCUUUUGUAUGUGACCUUUGCAUUUGGAGUUGCAUUAAAGCCAAAUUCCGCUAUCGAGUCAGCCAGCAUUAAAAGCAAUGUACAGGCCGAGAAAAUUCGAGAGAUUGGGAUAGAGAAUUCAAAUUUAUAUUUUUAAAUUUUUUUUUGAUUUUGGGGUAUAAACUCUUAUCGUUUUUGUAUUUAUUAUUUUUUCUAGAAUUUAGAACAGGUACCAAAUAGAUUGGGCUUAAGGCCCAAAAAUAAAUGGGUCUAAAUACCGGUUCAGGUAAACAGAAACUGGACGUUGACUCAGCUCUCUCUCUCUUACUUUUUUGUUUAUGUGUUUUGUUAUUAUGUGUCGUUAGUCUUAGGGUUAAAAACUCGAAUUCCUCGCAGGAUGCUAUUUCGUUUUAAUGACUUAAUCAAAUCAAGUAAAUAACUUAAAAUAAAUUUUACAAAUUUUCACUUAGAUACUAGAAUUAAAAUUUUCAUUUUGAAAAGCAAUUCUAAGAAAAUAUUGUUUUAUCUUAAUCUUAAGUUAAACAUUUUAGUCAAACUAAGUUAGUUGUCGGAAAAUUGUAUGAACAGAUAUUUUAGGUGCCUUAAGCACCUUCUUAAAAUAUAAAUAUGAAUUUCCGAACCCCCUUAAGUAUUUUCAACUGGUUUACUGUUUUAAUCGAUUAAAAAUCAAAUUUUCUUGAUUUUUCCUUAAAAAAUAAAGUGACGACCUUUUAAUUCAAAAACCGAUUUUUCUUAAAUUAUAAGUUUGAUUGAUUUUUUUGAAACUUAGUCAUUUUUUCAAGUUUGACUAUAUUAUAUAUUUUUGUUAAAACAGAAAUGACGACUUUGUUAAUUUGGAAAUAGAUUUUUCUUAAAUCAUAAAUAAAUUAAUUUUUCAAAAUUUUGUCAUUUUUUCAAAUUUGACUAUAUUAUAUAUUUUCGUUAAAACACCAACUAAUAUCAAACUCGUGAAUACAAACUUCAAUACUCA